CACUUGGAAUAUUUAUGGUGUCCCAAGUCACCGGUUUAUUUUAAAUCCCAAAUCGAGAAAAUUUUACUCUGUUUAAAGUCUGCAAAAACCAGAAGACAGGGUAAGGAAUUCUGUUAACCCGGAAGAAGGUGUUAGGCAUUCCCGGAUUUCACAAUUUUAGCACGGUCGCUUUAAUCAUAUCUGGCUUAAUUGUUUGUUUUAAUUACCUAUUUUAGAACCUAUGUGUAUUUUACCUUUUACCGCUUUUAAUUAUGACAUUUAUGGAUUUAUAAAACGUGCCUAAAGCAUUCUAGGAAUAUUUGUGAGUUAAUUAAUUUUCUAAGUCAUUCUUCCCUAAGUUAAAGAUUGCGUGUGCAAGGUUCCUGAUUAUGGAACAAUUGUUGGCAAGGGUUACUUAAUCAAAUCUGGUGAUGAAUUAGGUGGGUUUAUACUCUCACAAGGUUUAUGAAGCCAACUAUAUUUUCAUUAUUCUAAAUCUGAGGCUCGUAUGCAUCUGUUUGAUUUCUGAAGUUACUUAAACUAAAUCAGAUGGGUAAGAAGAAAGUUUGUUUUUUUAGAAAUAAAUUGAAUCCAAGAUAAAAUCUGCAUAGCAGUAUUCUUGGCCUAGCGGCUGAUAACAAUGGGCCUAAACGGCUGGCCCAAUCACACUAUAUUCAGGCUGCCCUUAAUUGAUAAAGAUUUUUCAAAACUGGGCCAUUUCAUUACCAGGCCCAGAAUCAAAAUAACAUACAUGCAGACUUCAAACAAUUGAGUGAAUCUCGAAUUUAAACAAUGCUGGAAAAACAAACAUUAUUACAAGCUUGAUUUCAAAUGAAAUGUUACAACUUGGCAUCCAAAUGGUUAAACUAUUACUCUCGCUCCUGAUUUACAUGUUCAUGAUUCUCAUGCUGGCCUUGACUUCAAACAUUAAAAUACAUAUUUCAGUAGUGAGCAUCAUUGAUCCAAAUCCUCGAAAUUGUUUGAACACUGUUGUUUGCAUUGCUAGAGCAUUUCACACCAACAUAUCAAUUAGUUACAUUUGGAUAAGCUUCUACUUCUGAAUUAAAAUACAAGUGUGCCAUAACUUUAGACUAGAUUUGCAUAACAUAGUUCAUUAUAUACUUCACCAGAAUCAGUAGUAAUGAGCAAAAUCAGCUCAAAGCUUAGCUCAGAAAACAAACAACCAAAUCAGUUAUCGGCAGACAAUACAAGUAGGAAUAGGUUUAACGAUUAAGCACAUUUGCAUUCAUGAGGUUAAGCACAAAUAUGGCCUGAACAAGACAUACCUAAUCAGCAGAAUCUCAAACAAAAGAAAAUAAGUCUCUUAAGUUGAGAAGGAAUAACAUCAAGAAACAAAGCAGCGGCAGAAAACCAGCAAGAAUAAAGAAACAACAGCAAAUGAAGCUAAAGAAAACCAACUUUAGAACCCAGAAAAGAUGAAGAGGAACUUUUUUUGUUUUUUGAUGUUUUCUCUGAAAUUCUAAAGCUGGAAUCCCAAAAAUUUUCUCUAAUAAAAAUGAAGAUGAGUGGGAUGGAAUUUCUGAGAGAGUGCAGUCAAUUAGUGUGUUCAAUGAAAAAUCAGUGAAGAUGAGUAUGCGUGUCCAAUUUCUGCAGGGGAAUCCUCUCUUAUAUAGACUAUAUGAGCCUUAUGAGGGAAUGGGAUCAGAUCAAAGAAUCUGCCAGCUUUCCCUUAAAUUCAGGGAAAUGACAUCUUUUUGUACCAGAAAAUGGACAACUGUACCUAAAUUCAGCACCUUUUCUAACAGAUUUGGACAGUUGUCCCUUUCUAGAAGUUUCUUCUCAUUUUCACCCUUUUUAACUUCUGAAAAUUUUCCUUUUUACCCAAAAUCUGAUCUAAUUUAUGGUUUUUAUUGCACUUUAACCCCUACUAACAUCUUCUCGAACCUUCUAGCAAAUUCCAGGCCAAGAUUCCCUUAUUUUUCUCAUUUCUUUUAGCCCCCUCAAGUCCCAGUUAUGUCAAAUAACCACACCAAACACAAAACAUACGGAUAUGGACAAAACCUAAUGCAACAGACGAACCAUUUCAAUUAAUUGAUUAAAC
RNAcentral lists this long non-coding RNA (2041 nucleotides) under Nicotiana tabacum (common tobacco). RNAcentral describes it as "long non-coding RNA (NTAB_LNC014285)". The record is from RNAcentral. Lineage: Eukaryota; Viridiplantae; Streptophyta; Magnoliopsida; Solanales; Solanaceae.